CGCGAAUGGCUCAUUAUAACAGCUAUAAUUUACUUGAUCUUGACACAAUCCUACUUGGAUAACUGUGGUAAUUCUAGAGCUAAUACAUGCAUUAAAGCUCUGACCUCACGGGAAGAGUGCAUUUAUUAGAACAAAACCAAGCGGCUUCGGCUGUUUCUGGUUGACUCAUAGUAACUGAGCUGAUCGCAUGGUCUUGCACCGGCGACGUGUCUUUCAAGUAUCUGCCGUAUCAACUUUCGAUGGUAGUGUAUCUGACUACCAUGGUGAUCACGCGUAACGGAGAAUAGGGGUUCGGCUCCGGAGAGUUCGCCUGAGAAAUCGCGAACACAUCUAAGGAAGGCAGCAGGCGCGAAAAUUACCCACUCUCAGCACGAGGAGGUAGUGACGAAAAAUAACGAGACCGUUCUCUUAUGAGGCCGGUCAUCGGAAUGGGUACAAUUUAAACCCUUUAACGAGUAUCUAUGAGAGGGCAAGUCUGGUGCCAGCAGCCGCGGUAAUUCCAGCU
This 505-nucleotide ribosomal RNA is filed under the name Cervidellus vexilliger. RNAcentral describes it as "SSU rRNA". It matches the Rfam family "Eukaryotic small subunit ribosomal RNA", at positions 88 to 590 of the family's 1831-position model. The record is from RNAcentral. Lineage: Eukaryota; Metazoa; Nematoda; Chromadorea; Rhabditida; Cephalobidae.